AUUCUACGUCCCUGGCACUAUGUAAGAGAAAGUCCAGGAAGACUCAUUCUACGUCCCUGGCAUCUUGGAAUGUUAUGUUAUGUUAUGUUAUGUAAGAGAAAGACCAGGACCCAUUCUAUGUUCUGGCACUAAUGGAAAUGUAGAGGGCUAUUGGCGACAAAUUCAUCCUUGAUGUGAUUUGUUUGUGAUGUGUUGCAUUCCAUGAAAGCAUGAACUUUUAAUAUAAUGUUUU
Molecule: long non-coding RNA, 232 nt
Filed under: Manihot esculenta (cassava)
Lineage: Eukaryota; Viridiplantae; Streptophyta; Magnoliopsida; Malpighiales; Euphorbiaceae
Description: long non-coding RNA (MESC_LNC007861)
Source: RNAcentral